AAACGCUUAAAGUCAGUCUUGUUUGCUAGGAUUCAGCCCCUUCCUGGGUGUACUUUCUAGUAAACAGGCCAACAUCACUUUUGGUCAUUGGAAAAGGGUAGUGGGAAUGUGGCACCCUUUCGGGGGUGUGUUAUAGCCUGCUAUCAUAUACAGUGACUGGGAGUGAGGACUGCCAUUGUAGGAUGUUGGCAUAAUGGCUUUAAACGA
Molecule: ribosomal RNA, 207 nt
Filed under: Scytinostroma ochroleucum
Lineage: Eukaryota; Fungi; Basidiomycota; Agaricomycetes; Russulales; Lachnocladiaceae
Description: partial large subunit ribosomal RNA
Source: RNAcentral